GCAGCGGUCCAAGAAGUUCCCAAAACUUUUUAUAAAAGUUUAUACUUAUUCCGUCCAUUCCAGGACUUUUGUUUAUCUUUAGAUUAUUGACUGCAAUGGUUAAUUCUUCUAACGUUACGUUUCCGUCACAAGACUUACUUUCUUCUUCUGACAGUUUAUAAUUAUGUUUUGUUUCAGAAAUGUAUUUUUUAACAUCUAUAUCCGGUUUUUGUUUAGUGUCGUAUAGAUUAGCAUAAAAAUUUCUUUCAAGAUUUAAUAUUUCAUCUUGAUCUGUUACUAUUACCCCCUUAUUGUUUCUCAGUUUAAGUAUUGUCUUUUUCGUUUGUUUAGAUUUUUCAAGACCUAGAAAAUAUGCAUUAUUUUUUUCUCCUUUUUCUACCCACUCUUGUUUUGAUCUUAUUUGAGCUCCUUUUGCUUUGUAUUCAUAUUGAUUUUCUAGCUCUUUCUCUAAAGUGGAUAUUUUUUCUUUUAUAAAAUCAUUAUCUUCAUUAUUAGAUUUUUCAUAUAAUAUUUUUAAUUGUAGUUCUAAAUUACGCGUUACAUUUUUUCUCAGUUUAGCUUUACUUUUACUGUACUGAAUACUGUAUUCCUUUAUUUCUAAUUUGAGGGAGUCCCACAGAAGUCUAGGAUCUAUUUCAUUUUUUCCUAUCUCAUUACUAUGUUUUUGUAUAAUUUUAUUUAUUUUGUCUUCGUAUUCUUGUUCGUUGAGAAUACCGUUGUUAAUUUUCCAAUACCCGGGGCCUCUUGUUUCAGAUGAUACAGAUUGUAAUUGUAUUGAUACUGCUUGGUGGUCAGUACUUUUAAUAAGAAUAGGCCUAAUAUCACAUGACUUUACGUUUAACACGAAAUCUUUUUUAACUAGGAACAUGUCAAUUCUACUAGACUGAACUGGAUUUUUACGUCUCCAUGUAUAUUGGAUCUUUUGAGGGUUAACGUGUCUCCAUAUAUCUAUAAGAUCAUUUGAUUUUAUUAGAUUUUUUAGGCUAUUGACUGGUUUACUUGCUUUUUUACGAAUAUUUGAACUUUUCCUAUCUACAUUUUUAAGGGCGUCGUUCAUAUCUCCUCCUAAAAUUAUUGUACCUAUUGCGUUUUUGUUUAAAAAGUCAUUUAAUUUUUUGUAGAAGCUAUUUCUUUCAGAUUCUAUAUUUGGGGCAUAUAUGUUUAUAAGAGAAUAUAUUAUAUUUUCAAAUUCAAUAUUUAUCAUAAUUAUUCGACCUUCUAAAUCUUUAUGCUCGUCUAUUAAUUUAUAGUCUAGUUUGUUAUUAAUUAAUAUUGCUACUCCUCUGCUGGAAGUCGUUCCGUGACUAUAAUAACAAGAAUGAUCUGAUUCUAUAGUUAGAGCGUUUUCUAGGGAUGUAUUGAAAUGAGUUUCUUGAAUAAAAGAUAUUUUACAUUUCUGAUUUUUUAUCCAUUGAUAAAGUCUCAAUCUCUUUUGUUUAUCUCGAAGUCCUUUAACAUUUGCUGUACAAAUGUGUAGGUUAUUUAGCAUAUUUUGAUUAAAAG
Molecule: long non-coding RNA, 1503 nt
Filed under: Mytilus galloprovincialis (Mediterranean mussel)
Lineage: Eukaryota; Metazoa; Mollusca; Bivalvia; Mytilida; Mytilidae
Source: RNAcentral